CGGACGGGUGAGUAACGCGUGGGUAACCUGCCUCAUACAGGGGGAUAACAGUUAGAAAUGACUGCUAAUACCGCAUAAGCGCACAAAACCGCAUGGUUUGGUGUGAAAAACUGAGGUGGUAUGAGAUGGACCCGCGUCUGAUUAGCUAGUUGGAGAGGUAACGGCUCACCAAGGCAACGAUCAGUAGCCGACCUGAGAGGGUGACCGGCCACACUGGGACUGAGACACGGCCCAAACUCCUACGGGAGGCAGCAG
RNAcentral lists this ribosomal RNA (255 nucleotides) under uncultured bacterium. Its description in RNAcentral is "partial 16S ribosomal RNA". It matches the Rfam family "Bacterial small subunit ribosomal RNA", at positions 99 to 354 of the family's 1533-position model. The record is from RNAcentral.